Olea europaea var. sylvestris is the source of this 2858-nucleotide long non-coding RNA. RefSeq lists it as uncharacterized. The record is from RefSeq and is a predicted model, not a curated record. The transcript has 5 exons. Lineage: Eukaryota; Viridiplantae; Streptophyta; Magnoliopsida; Lamiales; Oleaceae.
UCCCCCCAAAUUGUUUCACUGCUCCCGCCGAAAGUGGAGGCUUCACCACCGAAAAAUCUGAAAGAUUUGUACGUUUCCCCCGACUCCGACGAAGAUGGUGAUGCCCCACUUUGACGAAGAUGUAGAAGGUUUAAUUUAAGAGAUGCGAUUUUUGGUGGGUCGAUGUGAAUCUUGCGGAUAAUAUGAUAUCAACAAAGAAGGAAACAUUAGAAGAAGAUGGUCCGACGGUGCUUGAGGUGCCAGAGGUAGGUAUGAUGUUAAAGGAUGAAAAAGAAUUGUGGGAUUUUUACAAAAGAUAUGCAUAUCAUAUCGGUUUUCCGAUUAGAAGAAGGAACUCGAAAAAGGGGGACGACGGAAAAAUGAAAUAUAUGACUUUAACAUGUGGUCGUGAAGGUCGGAGGCCUACCAGCACCAGUGGUUCUUCAAAGCCCCAACCAACUACUCAGAUAGAUUGUAAAGCUAGGGUCAUUGUAUCUGUAGAUGUUUAUGGAAUCUGGAGAAUAAACACAGUCCACCUCGACCACAACCAUAAAACAAGUCCUUCAAAGUCGAGGUUGUACUGUUGCAAUUGAGAAUUAAGUUCGCACGUGAAAGGGAAGCUGGAAGUGAAUGAUAUGACUGGAAUUCCUUUACACGAGAGUUUUAAUUCUGCAGUGGUUGAAGUAGGUGGAUAUGAAAAAUUGUCUUGUGUGGAAAGGGAUUGCCGGAAUUAUAUUGAAUAAGUGCGACGGUUAAGACUUGGUGAAGGAGAUGCCGCAGUGAUGCAGUCAUACUUUUCUAGGAUGCAAGCUCAGUGCUCAGGAUUCUACUUUAGUAUGGACCUAGACUAUGAUUCCAGGUUGAAGAAUGUAUUUUGGGCAGACAAUAGGUCUAAACAAGCUUACAAGGAGUUCGACGACGUUGUCACAUUUGAUACCACUUGUCUAACCAACUAGUAUGACAUGCCAUUCACCCCUUUUGUUGGCGUUAAUCAUCAUGGAAAGUCGACAUUGCUCGAUUGUGAUUUGUUGUCCAAUGAGGACACGAAAUCUUUUGUGUGGCUAUUUAGCGCUUAGCUUCAGUUUAUACAUGAAAAUGCUCCCCAUGGAAUCAUUACUGAUCAAGAUAGGGCUAUGCAAAAUGCAGUUCAGAUUUUUUUUCCUAAUACGAAGCAUAAAUGGUGCUUGUGGCAUAUUCUCAAGAAGUUGUCCGAAAAGUUUGGAUACCACGUCGAUAAGGCUUCCAUUUUUUCUACCAUACAUGCAUUGGUUUAUGAUUCACAGUUCGUGGAAGAAUUUGAAGAAGGUUGGAGGGCGAUGAUUGACACAUAUGGGUUGCACAGUAAUGAGUGGUUGUCGGGACUAUUUGAUAAUAUAGGUGUUGGGUUCCUUGCUACUUGAAAACUACAUUUUGGGCUGGGAUGUCGACGACUCAGGGAAGUGAGAGUAUGAACGCAUUCUUUGAUGGGUAUGUUCAUUCGAAGACCUCGUUGAAGCAAUUUGUCAAACAGUAUAAACAGGUACUAAGGAAUAAGGUAAAGAAGGAGUUCCAGGCCGACUUCAAGUCAUACUCCCAAAUGGUACCAUGCACAACAAUGUUUGAAAUGGAGAAGCAAUAUCAAAACUGUUACACCAUUUCGAAGUUCAGAGAAGUUCAACCUGAGCUUAUAGGGAAAGUUUAUUGUGACAUCAUGUCUACUACGGAAGGCACUUCAUGCAUAACCUAUGAAAUACGGGAGUUUGUAAUGGUUGAUUAUAGACGAAAGAUCAAAAAGUUUUUCGUGUCAUUUGAAUGAGAUAAUUGCGAAAUUGUUUGUAGUUGUCAUUUGUUUGAGUUUCAAGGAAUUUUGUGCCAUCAUGCUAUCGUAGUCUUGAUCUGUAAUGAUGUCACGUCUCUUCCAGAUAGGUAUAUACUACGAAGAUGGAGGAGAGAGGUUUGUAGAGCACACACCAAGGUUGCAUUGAAUUAUGCCGGGUUGGUAUCUAUGCCUGAACAGUUGAGAUAUAACGAUAUAUGUCAGGCUUUUGUCGAGGUUGCAAACCUAGCAGCUAAUGAUAAGGAUGCUGCUAUACGAUCAAGGAGUGGAUAAAUAAUCAAAAGGAAGAGUUGAUGACAAUAAAAUUAGGCUCCGAAAGUAAUCGCAUUUUACAUCACGAUAUUCAGUUAGCCUCACAGUGUAAUGAAUCUGAAAACAAUGCCAUAAGGGAUCCUAUAUCGACAAGAAGAAAGGGCGCUCCUAAGAAGCUUCAGAGAAAAGGCCGACUUGGAGACGUCUUCGAAAAAGGCAAAGGCUACAUUGCCCUCGACUAGAGGAAAUGGACCAACAUCCAGGCAUAGUGAUACACCGUCUGCACCCGUCGUCCAAGCAUCUCAACAAUAUUCUAUGCAGACAUCGUUUUCGUAUUCACAACUACUGUUGGGUGAUGUAGAAAGUCUUACCUUCUCGCAACACUGGCCAGCCUCAAGUUUGGUCCCCCAACAUCAACAAAUGUCAUAUUCAACGAUCAAGGUCGUUCGAUUCCAUACAGUUAACUAUCCACAUUUCCCACAAGGUGGUCCAGGCAUAUGAACAAUGGAUGAAGAAUUUUUGGACUUUUGCUAUUCGUUCUUUGCUGUCUAUCAUGUUAGGAUUUUUGGGACAUUUUUUAUUUCGCGGAGUAAAAAAAAAUGCCUAAGAGCGAAAUGUUUCUAUUUUUGUUUGUGGGGAUAAUUCUGUAAAUUUGUCUUGGUCCAUUUCCACUAGGAAGGAAGGGUACAUUCUUGACCUCAUUAGUUAUUCAUAUCUCGACUACCACUGUACUAUGAUUGAUAUUCAAGCAUUUGUAAAUGACAAUUUGGCACUAUGCCUAUAAAAUAUCUCAAGACUGGAUCUUUUGUUA